This is a non-coding RNA of Acanthosepion pharaonis, 112 nucleotides long. Lineage: Eukaryota; Metazoa; Mollusca; Cephalopoda; Sepiida; Sepiidae. The record is from the annotation of a GenBank genome assembly.
UUACAGCCAUAUCACGUUGAAACACCAAUUCCCAUACGAUUACUGAAAUUAAGCAAUGUUGAGCUUGGUCAGUACAUAGAUGGGUGACUACUUGGAAAUAUCAGAUGCUGUA